This 465-nucleotide ribosomal RNA is filed under the name uncultured bacterium. RNAcentral describes it as "partial 16S ribosomal RNA". It matches the Rfam family "Bacterial small subunit ribosomal RNA", at positions 28 to 507 of the family's 1533-position model. The record is from RNAcentral.
GACGAACGCUGGCGGCGUGCUUAACACAUGCAAGUCGAACGGAAAGGCCCCUUUGGGGGUACUCGAGUGGCGAACGGGUGAGUAACACGUGAGUAACCUGCCCUUGACUUCGGGAUAACUUCAGGAAACUGGGGCUAAUACCGGAUAGGAAUCCUUGCUGCAUGGUGGGGGUUGGAAAGCUUCGGCGGUUUUGGAUGGACUCGCGGCUUAUCAGCUUGUUGGUGGGGUAGUGGCUUACCAAGGCUUUGACGGGUAGCCGGCCUGAGAGGGCGACCGGCCACAUUGGGACUGAGAUAAGGCCCAGACUCCUACGGGAGGCAGCAGUGGGGAAUAUUGCACCAUGGGCGGAAGCCUGAUGCAGCAACGCCGCGUGCGGGAUGACGGCCUUCGGGUUGUAAACCGCUUUCAGCAGGGGCGAAGCUUGUGGUGACGGUACCUGCAGAAGAAGCACCGGCUAACUACGUG